RNAcentral lists this ribosomal RNA (253 nucleotides) under uncultured bacterium. Its description in RNAcentral is "partial 16S ribosomal RNA". It matches the Rfam family "Bacterial small subunit ribosomal RNA", at positions 524 to 776 of the family's 1533-position model. The record is from RNAcentral.
UACGAAGGGGGCUAGCGUUGUUCGGAAUUACUGGGCGUAAAGCGCACGUAGGCGGACUACUAAGUCAGGGGUGAAAUCCCGGGGCUCAACCCCGGAACUGCCUUUGAUACUGGUAGUCUCGAGUCCGGAAGAGGUGAGUGGAAUUCCGAGUGUAGAGGUGAAAUGCGCAGAUAUCAGGAGGAACACCAAUGGCGAAGGCAGCUCACUGGGACGGUAUUGACGCUGAGACGCGAAAGCGUGGGGAGCAAACAGG